AAAACGUAAAAUUGUCGGGGGAGAAUAAAAGAGAGAGAAGAGGUACACUCAGGUAAGGUUCGGUGCAGUGCGAACAGUUGCAGUUGUUGAUUCAAAUAUCCAAUUCCCAACAAACAACCCAAUCUUACUAAGCAACAGAACAGACACACGCGCCAAUCAAAAUGGCGGAUCCGAUCGUUGCGCCACCAAGAUCCGCCACCGACCUCUUUUCGGAUCCACUCGACGCCCACCCGCUAUGGUUCAAACCCGCAUCGUUUCUCUCCCCAGACUUCGAUUCCGAAUCCUACAUUUCGGAGCUCCGAACCUUCGUUCCCUUCGACACUCUCCGUUCUGAACUCAACAACUACCUCUCUUCUCUCAACCACGAACUCAUCGACCUCAUCAACCGUGACUACGCCGAUUUCGUUAACCUCAGCACCAAACUCGUCGACGUCGACGCCGCAGUGGUGCGCAUGCGGGCCCCGCUCGUGGAGCUCCGAGAGAAGAUCGAGCAGUUCAGAGGAUCCGUUCAGGUUUCGCUCGUCGCUAUAAAGAACGGUUUGAAGCAAAGAUCUGAGGCUGCUUCCGCUAGAGAGACUUUGGAGCUUCUCCUUGACACGUUUCACGUCGUUUCCAAGGUUGAGAAACUAAUAAAAGAGCUGCCUAGUGUACCCACCGACUGGUCAAAUGGAGAUGUAAAUUUGCCAGAGGGAAAUUUCUUGAGCAAUGGAGUUCCCGUGCAGCAUGCUGAGAAUGGGACAAGUAUCAGAGAGACUCAAAGCAUGCUGCUGGAAAGAAUUGCCAGUGAGAUGAACCGACUAAAGUUCUAUGUCACACAUGCAAAGUACAGAACCUGCCUUUUAUUGAGAAUAUGGAGAAGAGGUUUCAAAAUGCAAGCCUUACAGUGGAUGCAAGCUUGGGGCAUUGCUUUGUAGAUGGUUUAGAGCACCGGGAUGCAACUGCAAUUUACAAUUGCUUACGUGCAUAUGCUGCCAUAGAUAACACCAAAAAUGCAGAAGAAAUUUUUCGAAUCACUGUUGUGGCUCCACUGAUACAGAGGAUUAUCCCACAUGGAUCAUCAGCUGUGGUUGCUGGAUCAUCUGGGGAUGGACUUGAAAAUGAUUAUCAACUAAUUGAGGAGUGUAUUGAUAAAGACUGUAAAUUCUUAUUGGAAAUUUCUUCAGCUGAAAAUUCAGGUUUGCAUGUCUUUGACUUCUUAGCCAAUUCAAUCCUUAAAGAGGUUCUCUCUGCAAUUCAGAAGGGAAAACCAGGUGCAUUUUCUCCUGGAAGACCAACAGAGUUCUUGAAAAAUUACAAAUCAAGCUUAGAUUUCUUGGCUUAUUUAGAAGGCUACUGUCCAUCCAGAUCUGCUGUUGCUAAAUUUCGAUCUGAAUCAGUUUAUGCUGAGUUCAUGAAGCAAUGGAAUAUUGGAGUAUAUUUUUCUUUGAGGUUUCAGGAAAUAGCAGGGUCUCUAGAAUCUGUGCUUACAACAUCUAGUCUGGUUCCUGUUCAAAAUUCAGAUGGUGGUGAAGCAAAUUAUCAAGAUUUAACAUUAAAACACAGUGUUACUCUGCUGGAGAGUUUGAGAUCGUGCUGGAGAGAAGAUGUUCUUGUCCUUUCAUGUUCUGACAAGUUCCUUAGACUAUCCUUGCAGCUUCUUUCUAGGUCAGUUUAAGCUGGGAUGUUAAGAAUGUGUGUGUUUUUAAAAAUAUGCUGACAGAACAAAAAUGACUUCUCUUCACUUACAGAUACUCAAAUUGGCUGUCAUCUGGACUGACUGCUCGCAAGAACCAUAACACAAGUACUAGCUCUGGGUGUGAAUGGGCUGUUACGGCUGUCAUAGAUGACUUCAUUUUUGUUAUUCAUGAUAUAAGAUGUUUGGAGGAGCUGGUCCGUGGUGAUUACCUGCAACAUGUGCUUCAGCUUUUGUCUUUGUGCUCCCCUGAUGUUCUUGAAUCAGUAAGACAGAGCAUCUUACAGGGUGGUCAAUCAUUGAAAUCUUUAGAACCUUUAGUCAUCAAAGCAGUGGUGGAGUCGCUAGUUGAAAAAUCAGUUGAGGACUUGAGACAAAUGAAGGGGAUAACAGCAACCUAUAGGAUGACUAAUAAACCUCUACCUGUGAGGCAUUCGCCAUAUGUUUCAGGGGUACUACGUCCCCUUAAGGCUUUUUUGGAUGGGGAGAGAGCUACAAGAUAUUUGGCCAAUGAAACUAGGAAUGAAAUACUCCUCUGGGCUGCUACUGAGAUUACUGACCGUUAUUAUGAAUUAGCUGCUGACCUUGUUAGCGUGGCACGAAAGACGGAGUCUUCACUCCAGAAAAUUAGGCAGAGUGCACAAAGACGAGCUGGAGCAAGUUCAGAUAUCUCAGAUAAUAAUGUGUCUGACACUGAUAAAAUCUGCAUGCAGUUGUUCCUUGAUAUUCAGGAGUAUGCCCGUAACCUAUCCGCACUAGGGGUUGAAGCAGUUAAUAUUGCAUCCUACCGUUCAUUGUGGCAUUGUGUGGCUCCUGCAGAUAGACAAAACACUAUUAAUCUCUAAGAGUUUGCACCUGUGGAGUAAAUGCGGCAUGUAGAUUGCUUUCUUCCUUGGUCAAGAGUUUCUUUUGUAAUUUAUUUAUGAAAUCCAUAAUACGCAAAUUUGUUGGCUUUACACAAUAAUCACAGGUUAUCUUGGUUCUUAAAGGGAAGAAAAAAAAAUAUUUUGUUCAUUACUGUUGUGUUAUCUUUUAAGGUUCUCCAUUAUCACUGCGAUAAAAGAUGUAUGAUAUUCUUUGCGGCUUUGCUUCUUAUCAUUCAUUCUUUUAAAUUGCUGGUGCAAACUUACGGCCAAUUGACGGUCUGAAAGAUCGAAAUAUGUUGUAUAUCCUAAAUGUUUGUUUGCCAUUUGGUUACAGCCCGUAAUGCAAUCCUCCAAGUACAAGAAUAAAUUAAAAUUUUAAGAUGUGUGACAUUCUUUGUUGUAUCUUUCUUAUAAUGGUUGUAUAACGAUUUCUCCGGUCAGAUAAUAGGAAAUUGAAAAGUAUAUGGGAAUCAGUUAGACGGAAUCCUAUCGUGACAAAAUUAAAAUGGCAAGUUUAGCUCAGGGAGUAGAACCAAAUCGUAAAGUUUGAUA
This is an RNA transcript of Abrus precatorius (Indian licorice), 3090 nucleotides long. It is a transcript of the gene named conserved oligomeric Golgi complex subunit 2, with no coding region annotated. The transcript is spliced from 11 exons. NCBI's taxonomy places the organism in Eukaryota, Viridiplantae, Streptophyta, Magnoliopsida, Fabales, Fabaceae. The record is from RefSeq and is a predicted model, not a curated record.